GCCAGGCAAGGUGGCUCAUGCCUGUAAUCCCAGCUGCUUGGGAGGCUGAGGCAGGACAAUUCUAAAUUUGAGGCCAGCCUGAGCAACUUAGCCAAGAUCCUGUCUCAA
This 108-nucleotide small RNA is filed under the name Marmota monax (woodchuck). Lineage: Eukaryota; Metazoa; Chordata; Mammalia; Rodentia; Sciuridae. The record is from RNAcentral.